RNAcentral lists this ribosomal RNA (253 nucleotides) under uncultured bacterium. Its description in RNAcentral is "partial 16S ribosomal RNA". It matches the Rfam family "Bacterial small subunit ribosomal RNA", at positions 524 to 776 of the family's 1533-position model. The record is from RNAcentral.
UACGUAGGGCGCAAGCGUUGUCCGGAAUUAUUGGGCGUAAAGAGCUCGUAGGCGGCUUGUCACGUCGGAUGUGAAAGCCCGAGGCUUAACCUCGGGUCUGCAUUCGAUACGGGCUAGCUAGAGUGUGGUAGGGGAGAUCGGGAUUCCUGGUGUAGCGGUGAAAUGCGCAGAUAUCAGGAAGAACACCCGUGGCGAAGGCGGCUCUCUGGGACGGUACUGACGCUGAGACGCGAAAGCGUGGGGAGCGAACAGG